AAUGAACGCUGGCGGCAGGCCUAAUACAUGCAAGUCUAAAGGGCAGCAAUGUCCUUGGCGCACGGGUGCGUGACACGUAUGCAACCUGCCCUCAACUGGGGGAUAACCUUCCGAAAGGGAGGAUAAUACCGCAUGACACAGAGUCCCUGCAUGGGGGUUUUGUCAAAGCUACGGCGGUUGAGGAUGGGCAUGCGGACGAUUAGCUAGUUGGCGGGGUAACGGCCCACCAAGGCUACGAUCGUUAGGGGAACGGAGAGGUUGGUCCCCCACACUGGCACUGAGAUACGGGCCAGACUCCUACGGGAGGCAGCAGUAGGGAAUAUUGGUCAAUGGGCGGAAGCCUGAACCAGCCAUGCCGCGUGCAGGAAGAAGGCCCUCUGGGUUGUAAACUGCUUUUGACGGGGAACAAGUCGGCCAUGCGUGGCUAAGUGAGUGUACCCGUAGAAUAAGCCACGGCUAACUACGUGCCAGCCGCCGCAGUAA
RNAcentral lists this ribosomal RNA (483 nucleotides) under uncultured bacterium. RNAcentral's name for it is "partial 16S ribosomal RNA". It matches the Rfam family "Bacterial small subunit ribosomal RNA", at positions 29 to 523 of the family's 1533-position model. The record is from RNAcentral.